CGCCCUACGGGGCGCAGCAGUGGGGAAUAUUGCACAAUGGGCGCAAGCCUGAUGCAGCGACGCCGCGUGCGGGAUGGAGGCCUUCGGGUUGUAAACCGCUUUUGUUCAAGGGCAAGGCACGGUCUUUGGCCGUGUUGAGUGGAUUGUUCGAAUAAGCACCGGCUAACUACGUGCCAGCAGCCGCGGUAAUACGUAGGGAGCAAGCGUUAUCCGGAUUUAUUGGGUGUAAAGGGUGCGUAGACGGGCUAUCAAGUUAGUUGUGAAAUCCCUCGGCUCAACUGAGGAACUGCAACUAAAACUAUUAG
RNAcentral lists this ribosomal RNA (305 nucleotides) under uncultured bacterium. RNAcentral describes it as "bacterial SSU rRNA". It matches the Rfam family "Bacterial small subunit ribosomal RNA", at positions 335 to 639 of the family's 1533-position model. The record is from RNAcentral.